AAAGCGCGAUAGGUAAUGCGAAUUGCACACGUGAGUCAUUGAAUCUUUGAACGCACAUUGCGCCAUCAGGUUCUCCUGAUGGCAUGCUUGUUGGAGCGCCGAUCUUUCUCUCAUACCACUUUAUUGAGGUACGAGGUUGUGCUCCUUGUAGGAGUCAAAAGAAUGGAAGUGCACACGUUAGAUAACUCUGUGCAGUUACUUAAAUCUUUUGGCCUCCAAUCAAGCAAGGCUACCCGCUGAACUUAA
This 246-nucleotide unclassified non-coding RNA is filed under the name uncultured Candida. RNAcentral describes it as "sequence contains ITS1". The stretch from base 1 to 101 matches the Rfam family "5.8S ribosomal RNA", at positions 50 to 154 of the family's 154-position model. Lineage: Eukaryota; Fungi; Ascomycota; Saccharomycetes; Saccharomycetales. The record is from RNAcentral.